CGUCAUUAUAACAUGUUGUUGUGUAUGUCUCUGCCAGGUUAGGGGUCAGGGGUCAUGUUGUUGUGUAUGUCUCUGCCAGGUCAGGGGUCAGGGGGUCAUGUUGUUGUGUAUGUCUCUGCCAGGUUAGGGGUCAGGGGGUCAUGUUGUUGUGUAUGUCUCUGCCAGGUCAGGAGUCAGGGGGUCAUGUUGUUGUGUAUGUCUCUGCCAGGUUAGGGGUCAUGUUGUUUUGUCUGCCUCUGUCGGGUCAGGGGGUCUAUAACAUGUUGUUUUGUCUGCCUCUGCCAGGUCUGGGUCAGGGAGUGCCUCUGGUCUGUCUGAUCCUGGAGGGGGGUCCCAACGUCAUCUCCAUAGUCCUGGAGAGCCUGAGGGAGGACCCCCCUGUCCCGGUGGUGGUCUGUGACGGCAGUGGACGGGCCUCUGACAUCAUCUCCUUCGCACACAGAUACUCUGAGGACGACGGCUUGGUAAGUGAUAGCGUGAAGGACCAGCUCCUGGUCACCAUACAGAAGACGUUCAACUACAACCGCGGUCAGGCCCAGCAGAUCUUCCUCAUGGUGAUGGAAUGCAUGAAGAAGCGAUCUCUGGUGAGUAGGGAAGACAUAAUUAUACAGGCUAUGUUCCCAUAAAUGACAUUAGCAUAACACUUAGAAUUCCUGUCCAAUGCAUUGCAUGCGUCAUAAGUGACGGUUUUAGUAUCUAGACAAUUUGUUAGUUAAAAUGUAUUUUUCUAAGCCUUUACGUACAUUUUAGAAACACUUUACCGCAUAAGUCAAACCUAAUGUAUUCAAAAUAUAUUCAAACAUUAAAGAUUAUAAUUUGUGAUGAAAGUAAAGCGACAUUUUAAUAAUUUAAUUGUUUUAUGUUAUUUGAUGCGUCAAUAAAAUUGUCCCAUUCAUUUGUGUCAUCCUGUACUUUCAUUCAUGUGUCAUGUGUCCAAUCAUUUGACCCGGUACGUUAAAUAAGUCAACACAACCAAUAUCCAUCAUCACUGAAGACCUGAAACUAUUCUACUUCAUAAACCCUGCAUCCCAUAGUCAGUGUCCCCAUAAACUAUAGUUGAAGAAUGUGUCCUCAUAAACAACGAUAAUAUGAACUACAUCACCAUCAUCCCUGUCUCACAUCUUCAACUACAUCACCAUCAUCCCUGUCUCACUUCCUCAACUACAUCACCAUCAUCCCUGUCUCACAUCUUGAACUACAUCUCCAUCAUCCCUGUCACACUUCCUCAACUACAUCUCCAUCAUCCCUGUCUCACUUCCUCAACUACAUCACCAUCAUCCCUGUCUCACUUCCUCAACUACAUCACCAUCAUCUCUGUCUCACUUCCUAAACUACAUCACCAUCAUCCCUGUCUCACUUCCUCAACUACAUCACCAUCAUCCCCAUCUCACUUCUUCAACUACAUCCCCAUCAUCCCUGUCUCACUUCUUCAACUAUAUCACCAUCAUCCCCAUCUCACUUCUUCAACUACAUCACCAUCAUCCCUGUCUCACUUCCCCAACUACACCACCAUCAUCCCUGUCUCACAUCUUCAACUACAUCACCAUCGUCCCUGUUUCACUUCCUCAACUACAUCACCAUCAUCCCUGUCUCACAUAUUCAACUACCUCACCCCUGUCUCACUUCCUCAACUACAUCACCAUCAUCCCUGUCUCACAUCUUCAACUACAUCACCAUCAUCCCUGUUUCACUUCCUCAACUACAUCACCAUCAUCCCUGUCUCACAUAUUCAACUACCUCACCAUCGUCCCUGUUUCACUUCCUCAACUACAUCACCAUCAUCCCUGUCUCACAUAUUCAACUACCUCACCCCUGUCUCACUUCCUCAACUACAUCACCAUCAUCCCUGUCUCACAUCUUCAACUACAUCACCAUCAUCCCUGUCUCACAUCUUCAACUACAUCACCAUCAUCCCUGUCUCACAUCUUUAUCUACAUCACCAUCCUCCCUGUCUCACUUCCUCAACUGCAUCACCCUCAUCCCUGUCUCCCAGCUUCUUCAACUACAUCUCCAUCAUCCCCGUCUCACUUCCUCAACUACAUCACCCUCAUCCCUGUCUCCCAGCUUCUUCAAUUACAUCACCAUCAUCCCUGUCUCACUUCCUCAACUACAUCACCAUCAUCCCUGUCUCACUUCCUCAACUACAUCACCAUCAUCCCCAUCUCACUUCCUCAACUACAUCACCAUCAUCCCUGUCUCACUUCUUCAACUACAUCACCAUCAUACGUGUCUCACUUCCUCAACUACAUCACCA
Molecule: long non-coding RNA, 2254 nt
Filed under: Salmo salar (Atlantic salmon)
Lineage: Eukaryota; Metazoa; Chordata; Actinopteri; Salmoniformes; Salmonidae
Description: lncRNA (ENSSSAG00000107641.1)
Source: RNAcentral